Molecule: ribosomal RNA, 1092 nt
Filed under: human gut metagenome
Description: bacterial SSU rRNA
Rfam family: Bacterial small subunit ribosomal RNA
Source: RNAcentral
AGAGUUUGAUCCUGGCUCAGGAUGAACGCUGGCGGCGUGCCUAAUACAUGCAAGUCGAACGAGUUCUCGUUGAUGAUCGGUGCUUGCACCGAGAUUCAACAUGGAACGAGUGGCGGACGGGUGAGUAACACGUGGGUAACCUGCCCUUAAGUGGGGGAUAACAUUUGGAAACAGAUGCUAAUACCGCAUAGAUCCAAGAACCGCAUGGUUCUUGGCUGAAAGAUGGCGUAAGCUAUCGCUUUUGGAUGGACCCGCGGCGUAUUAGCUAGUUGGUGAGGUAAUGGCUCACCAAGGCGAUGAUACGUAGCCGAACUGAGAGGUUGAUCGGCCACAUUGGGACUGAGACACGGCCCAAACUCCUACGGGAGGCAGCAGUAGGGAAUCUUCCACAAUGGACGCAAGUCUGAUGGAGCAACGCCGCGUGAGUGAAGAAGGCUUUCGGGUCGUAAAACUCUGUUGUUGGAGAAGAAUGGUCGGCAGAGUAACUGUUGUCGGCGUGACGGUAUCCAACCAGAAAGCCACGGCUAACUACGUGCCAGCAGCCGCGGUAAUACGUAGGUGGCAAGCGUUAUCCGGAUUUAUUGGGCGUAAAGCGAGCGCAGGCGGUUUUUUAAGUCUGAUGUGAAAGCCCUCGGCUUAACCGAGGAAGCGCAUCGGAAACUGGGAAACUUGAGUGCAGAAGAGGACAGUGGAACUCCAUGUGUAGCGGUGAAAUGCGUAGAUAUAUGGAAGAACACCAGUGGCGAAGGCGGCUGUCUGGUCUGUAACUGACGCUGAGGCUCGAAAGCAUGGGUAGCGAACAGGAUUAGAUACCCUGGUAGUCCAUGCCGUAAACGAUGAAUGCUAGGUGUUGGAGGGUUUCCGCCCUUCAGUGCCGCAGCUAACGCAUUAAGCAUUCCGCCUGGGGAGUACGACCGCAAGGUUGAAACUCAAAGGAAUUGACGGGGGCCCGCACAAGCGGUGGAGCAUGUGGUUUAAUUCGAAGCAACGCGAAGAACCUUACCAGGUCUUGACAUCUUUUGAUCACCUGAGAGAUCAGGUUUCCCCUUCGGGGGCAAAAUGACAGGUGGUGCAUGGUUGUCGUCAGCUCGU